GAUAACCUACCUAUAAGACUGGGAUAACUUCGGGAAACCGGAGCUAAUACCGGAUAAUAUUUUGAACCGCAUGGUUCAAAAGUGAAAGACGGUCUUGCUGUCACUUAUAGAUGGAUCCGCGCUGCAUUAGCUAGUUGGUAAGGUAACGGCUUACCAAGGCAACGAUGCAUAGCCGACCUGAGAGGGUGAUCGGCCACACUGGAACUGAGACACGGUCCAGACUCCUACGGGAGGCAGCAGUAGGGAAUCUUCCGCAAUGGGCGAAAGCCUGACGGAGCAACGCCGCGUGAGUGAUGAAGGUCUUCGGAUCGUAAAACUCUGUUAUUAGGGAAGAACAUAUGUGUAAGUAACUGUGCACAUCUUGACGGUACCUAAUCAGAAAGCCACGGCUAACUACGUGCCAGCAGCCGCGGUAAUACGUAGGUGGCAAGCGUUAUCCGGAAUUAUUGGGCGUAAAGCGCGCGUAGGCGGCCCUUUAAGUCUGAUGUGAAAGCCCACGGCUCAACCGUGGAGGGUCAUUGGAAACUGGGAAAACUUGAGUGCAGAAGAGGAAAGUGGAAUUCCAUGUGUAGCGGUGAAAUGCGCAGAGAUAUGGAGGAACACCAGUGGCGAAGGCGACUUUCUGGUCYGUAACUGACGCUGAUGUGCGAAAGCGUGGGGAUCCCCCAGGAUUAGAUACCCUGGUAGUCCACGCCGUAAACGAUGAGUGCUAAGUGUUAGGGGGUUUCCGCCCCUUAGUGCUGCAGCUAACGCAUUAAGCACUCCGCCUGGGGAGUACGACCGCAAGGUUGAAACUCAAAGGAAUUGACGGGGACCCGCACAAGCGGUGGAGCAUGUGGUUCCCUUCGAAGCAACGCGAAGAACCUUACCAAAUCUUGACAUCCUUUGACAACUCUAGAGAUAGAGCCUUCCCCUUCGGGGGACAAAGUGACAGGUGGUGCAUGGUUGUCGUCAGCUCGUGUCGUGAGAUGUUGGGUUAAGUCCCGCAACGAGCGCAACCCUUAAGCUUAGUUGCCAUCAUUAAGUUGGGCACUCUAAGUUGACUGCCGGUGACAAACCGGAGGAAGGUGGGGAUGACGUCAAAUCAUCAUGCCCCUUAUGAUUUGGGCUACACACGUGCUACAAUGGACAAUACAAAGGGCAGCGAAACCGCGAGGUCAAGCAAAUCCCAUAAAGUUGUUCUCAGUUCGGAUUGUAGUCUGCAACUCGACUACAUGAAGCUGGAAUCGCUAGUAAUCGUAGAUCAGCAUGCUACGGUGAAUACGUUCCCGGGUCUUGUACACACCGCCCGUCACACCACGAGAGUUUGUA
This 1311-nucleotide ribosomal RNA is filed under the name Staphylococcus aureus. RNAcentral's name for it is "bacterial SSU rRNA". It matches the Rfam family "Bacterial small subunit ribosomal RNA", at positions 120 to 1416 of the family's 1533-position model. Lineage: Bacteria; Bacillati; Bacillota; Bacilli; Caryophanales; Staphylococcaceae. The record is from RNAcentral.